Molecule: ribosomal RNA, 497 nt
Filed under: uncultured bacterium
Lineage: Bacteria
Description: partial 16S ribosomal RNA
Rfam family: Bacterial small subunit ribosomal RNA
Source: RNAcentral
GAUGAACGCUGGCGGCGUGCCUAAUACAUGCAAGUCGAGCGAACAGACGAGGAGCUUGCUCCUCUGACGUUAGCGGCGGACGGGUGAGUAACACGUGGAUAACCUACCUAUAAGACUGGGAUAACUUCGGGAAACCGGAGCUAAUACCGGAUAAUAUAUUGAACCGCAUGGUUCAAUAGUGAAAGACGGUUUUGCUGUCACUUAUAGAUGGAUCCGCGCCGCAUUAGCUAGUUGGUAAGGUAACGGCUUACCAAGGCAACGAUGCGUAGCCGACCUGAGAGGGUGAUCGGCCACACUGGAACUGAGACACGGUCCAGACUCCUACGGGAGGCAGCAGUAGGGAAUCUUCCGCAAAGGGCGAAAGCCUGACGGAGCAACGCCGCGUGAGUGAUGAAGGUCUUCGGAUCGUAAAACUCUGUUAUUAGGGAAGAACAAAUGUGUAAGUAACUAUGCACGUCUUGACGGUACCUACUCAGAAAGCCACGGCUAACUACGUG